This 513-nucleotide ribosomal RNA is filed under the name Sundathelphusa hades. Its description in RNAcentral is "partial 16S ribosomal RNA". It matches the Rfam family "Bacterial large subunit ribosomal RNA", at positions 1833 to 2585 of the family's 2925-position model. The record is from RNAcentral. Lineage: Eukaryota; Metazoa; Arthropoda; Malacostraca; Decapoda; Parathelphusidae.
UCUAUUUGAAGUUAUAAGGAGUCUGACCUGCCCACUGAUUAGAAAAUAAACUGAAUUUAAGGGCCGCGGUAUUAUGACCGUGCAAAGGUAGCAUAAUCAUUAGGUUUUUAAAUGGAAUCUUGUAUGAAUGGUUGGACAAAGGAAAAACUGUCUUUAUACAAAAAUUUGAAUUUUACUUUUAAGUGAAAAGGCUUAAAUAUUUUAGUGGGACGAUAAGACCCUAUAAAACUUUACAUUAUAAUUAUAUUUAAUUAAAUUUAAUUAAUAAAAGUUUAAUAUAGUUAUUUGUUUUGUUGGGGAGACAAAGGUAAAAAUUAUACUAACUGCUUGAAAAAUAAACAUUUGUUAAUGGUAAUAAUAAUAGAUCCUAAAUAUAGAUUUAAAGAUUAAGUUACUUUAGGGAUAACAGUGUAAUUUUUUUUAAGAGUUCAUAUCGAAAAAAAAGUUUGCAACCUCGAUGUUGAAUUAAAGUAUCUUUAUAAUGUAGCUGUUAUAAAAGAAGGUCUGNUCGCC